This 324-nucleotide ribosomal RNA is filed under the name uncultured Glomus. RNAcentral's name for it is "SSU rRNA". It matches the Rfam family "Eukaryotic small subunit ribosomal RNA", at positions 569 to 886 of the family's 1831-position model. Lineage: Eukaryota; Fungi; Glomeromycota; Glomeromycetes; Glomerales; Glomeraceae. The record is from RNAcentral.
AGCAGCCGCAGUAAUUCCAGCUCCAAUAGCAUAUAUUAAAGUUGUUGCAGUCAAAAAGCUCGUAGUUGAAUUUCAGGGUUAGUAGGUUGGUCGUGCCUAUGGUAUGUACUGGCUUUACUGAUUCCUUCUUCUUGAAGAACUGUAAAAUGUCUGUAAUGUCAUUAAUUUGGCGUUGCAGGGAAACAGGACUGUUACUUUGAAAAAAUUAGAGUGUUUAAAGCAGGCUAACGCUUGAAUACAUUAGCAUGGAAUAAUGAAAUAGGACGUUUGAUCCUAUUUUGUUAGUUUCUAGGAUUGACGUAAUGAUUAAUAGGGAUAGUUGGG